This 508-nucleotide ribosomal RNA is filed under the name uncultured bacterium. RNAcentral describes it as "partial 16S ribosomal RNA". It matches the Rfam family "Bacterial small subunit ribosomal RNA", at positions 28 to 523 of the family's 1533-position model. The record is from RNAcentral.
GAUGAACGCUAGCUACAGGCUUGACACAUGCAAGUCGAGGGGAAACGACAUCGAAAGCUUGCUUUUGAUGGGCGUCGACCGGCGCACGGGUGAGUAACGCGUAUCCAACCUGCCCACCACUUGGGGAUAACCUUGCGAAAGUAAGACUAAUACCCAAUGACGUCUCUAGAAGACAUCUGAAAGAGAUUAAAGAUUUAUCGGUGAUGGAUGGGGAUGCGUCUGAUUAGCUUGUUGGCGGGGUAACGGCCCACCAAGGCGACGAUCAGUAGGGGUUCUGAGAGGAAGGUCCCCCACAUUGGAACUGAGACACGGUCCAAACUCCUACGGGAGGCAGCAGUGAGGAAUAUUGGUCAAUGGACGAGAGUCUGAACCAGCCAAGUAGCGUGCAGGAUGACGGCCCUAUGGGUUGUAAACUGCUUUUAUAAGGGAAUAAAGUGAGCCUCGUGAGGCUUUUUGCAUGUACCUUAUGAAUAAGGACCGGCUAAUUCCGUGCCAGCCGCCGCAGUAA